RNAcentral lists this ribosomal RNA (491 nucleotides) under uncultured bacterium. RNAcentral's name for it is "partial 16S ribosomal RNA". It matches the Rfam family "Bacterial small subunit ribosomal RNA", at positions 29 to 507 of the family's 1533-position model. The record is from RNAcentral.
GUGAACGCUGGCGGUAGGCCUAACACAUGCAAGUCGAACGGCAGCACAGUAAGAGCUUGCUCUUACGGGUGGCGAGUGGCGGACGGGUGAGGAAUACAUCGGAAUCUACUUUUUCGUGGGGGAUAACGUAGGGAAACUUACGCUAAUACCGCAUACGACCUACGGGUGAAAGCAGGGGAUCUUCGGACCUUGCGCGAUUGAAUGAGCCGAUGUCGGAUUAGCUAGUUGGCGGGGUAAAGGCCCACCAAGGCGACGAUCCGUAGCUGGUCUGAGAGGAUGAUAGGCACCAGGGGAACUGAACAGCGGCCCAGCCCCCUAGGGGGGGCGGCGGGGGGAAAUUUUGGAAAAGGGGCGCAGCCCUGACCCGCCCUUACCGGGGGGGAAAAAAGGGCUUUGGGGUUGAAACCCCUUUUUUUGGGGAAAAAAAAGCAGGAGUUUAUUCCCCCGCUGUUCGGCCGUUCCCCAAAAAAAAAACCCCGGCUAACUUCGUG